RNAcentral lists this ribosomal RNA (1139 nucleotides) under Heyndrickxia oleronia. Its description in RNAcentral is "bacterial SSU rRNA". It matches the Rfam family "Bacterial small subunit ribosomal RNA", at positions 209 to 1330 of the family's 1533-position model. The record is from RNAcentral. Lineage: Bacteria; Bacillati; Bacillota; Bacilli; Caryophanales; Bacillaceae.
CGGGUAUCACUUACAGAUGGACCCGCGGCGCAUUAGCUAGUUGGUGAGGGUAACGGCUCACCAAGGGCGACGAUGUGUAGCCGACUUGAGAGGGUGAUCGGCCACACCUGGGGACUGAGACACGGCCCAGACUCCUACCGGGAGGCAGCAGUAGGGAAUCUUCCGCAAUGGACGAAAGUCUGACGGAGCAACGCCGCGUGAGUGAUGAAGGUUUUCGGAUCGUAAAACUCUGUUGUUAGGGAAGAACAAGUAUCGUUCGAAUAGGGCGGUACCUUGACGGUACCUAACCAGAAAGCCACGGCUAACUACGUGCCAGCAGCCGCGGUAAUACGUAGGUGGCAAGCGUUGUCCGGAAUUAUUGGGCGUAAAGCGCGCGCAGGCGGUUUCUUAAGUCUGAUGUGAAAUCUUGCGGCUCAACCGCAAGCGGCCAUUGGAAACUGGGAGACUUGAGUGCAGAAGAGGAGAGUGGAAUUCCACGUGUAGCGGUGAAAUGCGUAGAGAUGUGGAGGAACACCAGUGGCGAAGGCGACUCUCUGGUCUGUAACUGACGCUGAGGCGCGAAAGCGUGGGGAGCGAACAGGAUUAGAUACCCUGGUAGUCCACGCCGUAAACGAUGAGUGCUAAGUGUUAGAGGGUUUCCGCCCUUUAGUGCUGCAGCUAACGCAUUAAGCACUCCGCCUGGGGAGUACGGCCGCAAGGCUGAAACUCAAAGGAAUUGACGGGGGCCCGCACAAGCGGUGGAGCAUGUGGUUUAAUUCGAAGCAACGCGAAGAACCUUACCAGUUCUUGACAUCCUCUUGACCUCCCUAGAGAUAGGGAUUUCCCUUCGGGGACAGGAGUGACAGGUGGUGCAUGGUUGUCGUCAGCUCGUGUCGUGAGAUGUUGGGUUAAGUCCCGCAACGAGCGCAACCCUUGACCUUAGUUGCCAGCAUUCAGUUGGGCACUCUAAGGUGACUGCCGGUGACAAACCGGAGGAAGGUGGGGAUGACGUCAAAUCAUCAUGCCCCUUAUGACCUGGGCUACACACGUGCUACAAUGGAUGGUACAAAGGGCUGCAAGACCGCGAGGUUUAGCCAAUCCCCAUAAAACCAUUCUCAGUGUCGGAUUGUAGGGCUGCAACUCGCCUACAUGAAGCCCGG